CUCUGCUCUUUCUCGGCAUGGAAUUGAAUUGGUUUUUAGCAACAUUGCAUCUUGAUCAAAGUUCCCUGUUUGAUACCCUGGGCUGUCUUUUGAUCUGUGGAGGGAGCUGCAUUGAACUUCAAGAGAGUGUCCCACUUUUCUUUUCACCAGAACUUCAUGGUAAGGAUCAAAACCUAAUUUCUUCUUUAUGCUCACAAGGUUCUGG
Molecule: long non-coding RNA, 205 nt
Filed under: Capra hircus (goat)
Lineage: Eukaryota; Metazoa; Chordata; Mammalia; Artiodactyla; Bovidae
Description: lncRNA (ENSCHIG00000002765.1)
Source: RNAcentral